Molecule: long non-coding RNA, 664 nt
Organism: Sarcophilus harrisii (Tasmanian devil)
Lineage: Eukaryota; Metazoa; Chordata; Mammalia; Dasyuromorphia; Dasyuridae
Exons: 3
Source: RefSeq, a predicted model, not a curated record
AAAUAUUCAGAGAAAGAAACUAUUUGGGACAUGGGAACAUAAUGACUGUCUGGUACACUUACUUAGUUUAACAUUGGGAUUUCUGGAAGAUCGCCUGAAUAUGUUGGAAAAGAGAGAAACUUGAAAGCAUAAGACCAUUUAGGAGACUGCUAUUGUGAACCAGGCAUGGUUAGAAUCAGAAUAAAGAAAAGAUUGCUACCAUAAAUAAUCAGCAGGAUUUGGUAUCUGUGUAAACAUAAGGAAUGUAAGAAAAUGGAGACGUCAUUUUCUAUUCAGAAUCAUGAAAUCUGCCAUCAUAUUAACAUAUAUUGUGAAGAUCAGAUUCAGAAUAUGGCCCACUGAAGUUAAUUCAAAAGAAAAAGGUGUGGUAUGAUGAAAUAUACCAACCAGGAAAAACAUGAGGGGGUGUGGAAAGGAAAAAAAAAAUUUGUGACAACAAGGGAUGUAGAAGCUAAGAGAAAUGCCACAUAAUUAGAGGAAAAUGCUUAUGGCAGAGGAGUGUACAAAGUAAUAAAUGUCUGCUGGGAGUGAUGAAAUGUCAAAGCGAAACCGAGGCCCUGCCUUGUCAGAUGUGCCCCAGUGUUCCCAGUGUCACUGUUCCUCAUAUAAUAAAACUAAAGCCAUUUUAACCAACCACAAAACAAAUAAAAGGAGAAUUUCUCUU